AAUAGAUACCCGGGUAGUCCACCCCGUAAACGUUGGGAACUAGUUGUGGGGUCCUUUCCACGGAUUCCGUGACGCAGCUAACGCAUUAAGUUCCCCGCCUGGGGAGUACGGCCGCAGGGCUAAAACUCAAAGGAAUUGACGGGGACCCGCACAAGCGGCGGAGCAUGCGGAUUAAUUCGAUGCAACGCGAAGAACCUUACCAAGGCUUGACAUACACCGGAAACGGCCAGAGAUGGUCGCCCCGCAAGGUCGGUGUACAGGUGGUGCAUGGUUGUCGUCAGCUCGUGUCGUGAGAUGUUGGGUUAAGUCCCGCAACGAGCGCAACCCUCGUUCUAUGUUGCCAGCAUGUCAUGGUGGGAACUCAUGGGAUACUGCCGGGGUCAACUCGGAGGAAGGUGGGGAUGACGUCAAAUCAUCAUGCCCCUUAUGUCUUGGGCUUCACGCAUGCUACAAUGGCCGGUACAAAGGGCUGCAAUACCGUGAGGUGGAGCGAAUCCCAAAAGCCGGUCCAGUUCGGAUUGAGGUCUGCAACUCGACCUC
RNAcentral lists this ribosomal RNA (540 nucleotides) under uncultured bacterium. RNAcentral's name for it is "bacterial SSU rRNA". It matches the Rfam family "Bacterial small subunit ribosomal RNA", at positions 777 to 1319 of the family's 1533-position model. The record is from RNAcentral.